RNAcentral lists this ribosomal RNA (526 nucleotides) under bacterium A4T_VP6_B1. Its description in RNAcentral is "bacterial SSU rRNA". It matches the Rfam family "Bacterial small subunit ribosomal RNA", at positions 337 to 854 of the family's 1533-position model. The record is from RNAcentral.
UCCUACGGGAGGCAGCAGUAGGGAAUCUUCCGCAAUGGACGAAAGUCUGACGGAGCAACGCCGCGUGAGCGAUGAAGGCCUUCGGGUCGUAAAGCUCUGUUGUCAGGGAAGAACAAGUACCGGAGUAACUGCCGGUACCUUGACGGUACCUGACCAGAAAGCCACGGCUAACUACGUGCCAGCAGCCGCGGUAAUACGUAGGUGGCAAGCGUUGUCCGGAAUUAUUGGGCGUAAAGCGCGCGCAGGCGGUUCCUUAAGUCUGAUGUGAAAGCCCCCGGCUCAACCGGGGAGGGUCAUUGGAAACUGGGGAACUUGAGUGCAGAAGAGGAGAGCGGAAUUCCACGUGUAGCGGUGAAAUGCGUAGAGAUGUGGAGGAACACCAGUGGCGAAGGCGGCUCUCUGGUCUGUAACUGACGCUGAGGCCCGAAAGCGUGGGGAGCGAACAAGAUUAGAUACCCUGGUAGUCCACGCCGUAAACGAUGAGUGCUAAGUGUUAAAGGGUUUCCCCCCUUUAAUGCUGCACCAA